GAUGAACGCUGGCGGCGUGCCUAAUACAUGCAAGUCGAGCGAACAGACGAGGAGCUUGCUCCUCUGACGUUAGCGGCGGACGGGUGAGUAACACGUGGAUAACCUACCUAUAAGACUGGGAUAACUUCGGGAAACCGGAGCUAAUACCGGAUAAUAUAUUGAACCGCAUGGUUCAAUAGUGAAAGACGGUUUUGCUGUCACUUAUAGAUGGAUCCGCGCCGCAUUAGCUAGUUGGUAAGGUAACGGCUUACCAAGGCAACGAUGCGUAGCCGACCUGAGAGGGUGAUCGGCCACACUGGAACUGAGACACGGUCCAGACUCCUACGGGAGGCAGCAGUAGGGAAUCUUCCGCAAUGGGCGAAAGCGUGACGGAGCAAAGCCGCGUGAGUGAUGAAGGUCUUCGGAUCGUAAAACUCUGUUAGUAGGGAAGAACAAAUGUGUAAGUAACUAUGCACGUCUUGACGGUACCUAAUCAGAAAGCCACGGCUAACUACGUG
This 497-nucleotide ribosomal RNA is filed under the name uncultured bacterium. Its description in RNAcentral is "partial 16S ribosomal RNA". It matches the Rfam family "Bacterial small subunit ribosomal RNA", at positions 28 to 507 of the family's 1533-position model. The record is from RNAcentral.